CUGCCAUCAAUUAAGCUGAUGAGGUUCCUUUGCUGGUGGGUGUCCAGUGUGCAAUGGCUGCAGACAGUUCCUCCUCAGUCUUCUGCUGCUUGUAUGAGCUGCCCUAAGGGACCUUGGAGACGCUG
Molecule: small nucleolar RNA, 125 nt
Organism: Fukomys damarensis (Damara mole-rat)
Lineage: Eukaryota; Metazoa; Chordata; Mammalia; Rodentia; Bathyergidae
Gene: SNORA70
Rfam family: Small nucleolar RNA SNORA70
About the family: snoRNA U70 seems to be exclusive to mammals and is a member of the H/ACA class of snoRNA which contain H (ANANNA) and ACA box motifs.
Source: Ensembl